UACGGAAGGUCCUGGUGUUAUCCGGAUUUAUUGGGUUUAAGGGGAGCGUAGGCCGUCAGGCAAGCGUGUUGUGAAAUGUCGUGGCUCAACCAUGGACUUGCAGCGCGAACUGCCCGACUUGAGUGCGCAGAAAGCAGGCGGAAUUUGUGGUGUAGCGGUGAAAUGCUUAGAUAUCACGAAGAACCCCGAUUGCGAAGGCAGCCUGCUGUAGCGCUACUGACGCUGAAGCUCGAAAGUGCGGGUAUCGAACAGG
This 253-nucleotide ribosomal RNA is filed under the name uncultured bacterium. RNAcentral's name for it is "partial 16S ribosomal RNA". It matches the Rfam family "Bacterial small subunit ribosomal RNA", at positions 524 to 776 of the family's 1533-position model. The record is from RNAcentral.